This 402-nucleotide ribosomal RNA is filed under the name uncultured bacterium. RNAcentral's name for it is "bacterial SSU rRNA". It matches the Rfam family "Bacterial small subunit ribosomal RNA", at positions 355 to 774 of the family's 1533-position model. The record is from RNAcentral.
UCGGGAAUUUUGGGCAAUGUGCGAAAGCCUGACCCAGCAACGCCGCGUGAAGGAUGAAGUAUUUCGGUAUGUAAACUUCGAAAGAAUGGGAAGAAUAAAUGACGGUACCAUUUAUAAGCUCCGGCUAACUACGUGCCAGCAGCCGCGGUAAUACGUAGGGAGCAAGAGUUGUUCGGAUUUACUGGGCGUAAAGGGCGUGUAGGCGGCGCGAUAAGUCACUUGUGAAAUCUCUGAGCUUAACUCAGAACGGCCAAGUGGUACUGCAGUGCUAGAGUGUAGAAGGGGCAAGCGGAAUUCUUGGUGUAGCGGUGAAAUGCGUAGAUAUCAAGGGGAACGCCGGGGGUGAAGACGGAUUGCUGGUCUAACACUGACGCUGAGGCACGCAAGCCAGGGGAGCAAACG